RNAcentral lists this ribosomal RNA (253 nucleotides) under uncultured bacterium. RNAcentral's name for it is "partial 16S ribosomal RNA". It matches the Rfam family "Bacterial small subunit ribosomal RNA", at positions 524 to 776 of the family's 1533-position model. The record is from RNAcentral.
UACAGAGGGUGCGAGCGUUAAUCGGAAUUACUGGGCGUAAAGCGCGCGUAGGCGGCUUUUCAAGUCGAUUGUGAAAUCCCCGGGCUUAACCUGGGAACUGCAGUCGAGACUGUCUAGCUAGAGUAUGGGAGAGGGAAGUGGAAUUUCAGGUGUAGCGGUGAAAUGCGUAGAUAUGUGGAGGAACACCGAUGGCGAAGGCAGCCCCCUGGGUUAACACUGACGCUCAUGCACGAAAGCGUGGGGAGCAAACAGG